Caenorhabditis elegans is the source of this 259-nucleotide non-coding RNA. The record is from Ensembl. NCBI's taxonomy places the organism in Eukaryota, Metazoa, Nematoda, Chromadorea, Rhabditida, Rhabditidae.
GAAACAACAUUCAGAUUUUGAUAAAUCUGCGGUUGACACCUGCAAAUCGGCCGUGAAAAUGGCCCAUAGACGCUCUCUGCCACUCCGCACACUAGAAGGUCUCUUUUCGCUACGAACCCGAAUGUCAGCUGACGUGUUCUGACAACUUGGAUAUAUCGUCGAGUUUGUAUGUGGUGCCAUGACACAUUGGCAUUUCUGAUGAUUAAUGCUACCACCUAGUGCUUAUUCGUCUGCUGUAACUGUUUUAAAUUAUUUUCUA